GGGUGACUAGUGACAGAGUGAGGAAGGGGGUGACUAGUGACAGAGGGAGGGGUGACUAGGGACAGAGUGAGGGAGGUGGUGACUAGUGACAGUUACCACCUCCCUCACUCUGUCACUAGUCACCACCUCCCUCACUCUGUCACCAGUCAUCCCCUCACUCUGUCACUAGUGACCCCUUCCUUCCCUCAUUCUGCCACUAGUCACCCCCUCACUCUGUCACCUGUCACCCCCUCACUCUGUCACUAGUCACCCC
Molecule: non-coding RNA, 253 nt
Organism: Pelobates cultripes (western spadefoot toad)
Lineage: Eukaryota; Metazoa; Chordata; Amphibia; Anura; Pelobatidae
Source: the annotation of a GenBank genome assembly